Molecule: ribosomal RNA, 815 nt
Filed under: Enterococcus faecium
Lineage: Bacteria; Bacillati; Bacillota; Bacilli; Lactobacillales; Enterococcaceae
Description: bacterial SSU rRNA
Rfam family: Bacterial small subunit ribosomal RNA
Source: RNAcentral
AGUUUGAUCCUGGCUCAGGACGAACGCUGGCGGCGUGCCUAAUACAUGCAAGUCGAACGCUUCUUUUUCCACCGGAGCUUGCUCCACCGGAAAAAGAAGAGUGGCGAACGGGUGAGUAACACGUGGGUAACCUGCCCAUCAGAAGGGGAUAACACUUGGAAACAGGUGCUAAUACCGUAUAACAAUCAAAACCGCAUGGUUUUGAUUUGAAAGGCGCUUUCGGGUGUCGCUGAUGGAUGGACCCGCGGUGCAUUAGCUAGUUGGUGAGGUAACGGCUCACCAAGGCCACGAUGCAUAGCCGACCUGAGAGGGUGAUCGGCCACAUUGGGACUGAGACACGGCCCAAACUCCUACGGGAGGCAGCAGUAGGGAAUCUUCGGCAAUGGACGAAAGUCUGACCGAGCAACGCCGCGUGAGUGAAGAAGGUUUUCGGAUCGUAAAACUCUGUUGUUAGAGAAGAACAAGGAUGAGAGUAACUGUUCAUCCCUUGACGGUAUCUAACCAGAAAGCCACGGCUAACUACGUGCCAGCAGCCGCGGUAAUACGUAGGUGGCAAGCGUUGUCCGGAUUUAUUGGGCGUAAAGCGAGCGCAGGCGGUUUCUUAAGUCUGAUGUGAAAGCCCCCGGCUCAACCGGGGAGGGUCAUUGGAAACUGGGAGACUUGAGUGCAGAAGAGGAGAGUGGAAUUCCAUGUGUAGCGGUGAAAUGCGUAGAUAUAUGGAGGAACACCAGUGGCGAAGGCGGCUCUCUGGUCUGUAACUGACGCUGAGGCUCGAAAGCGUGGGGAGCAAACAGGAUUAGAUACCCUGGUAGUCC